RNAcentral lists this long non-coding RNA (286 nucleotides) under Eucalyptus grandis. RNAcentral's name for it is "long non-coding RNA (EGRA_LNC004256)". Lineage: Eukaryota; Viridiplantae; Streptophyta; Magnoliopsida; Myrtales; Myrtaceae. The record is from RNAcentral.
UUUUUUCUUUUAAUACAAGCCCGGCCCAAAAUUUUUAAUCAAAGCCCAAGGAACAAAAGGAGUCCCUAUCCGCGUGAGACCGGCCCACUUGCGUCCAAGCCCGCUUGGCCCAGACUGACCGGAACCCUACCCGAUCAAGAUCCACGCCCAACUCGUCGACCGGCCCGGUUCCCGCGAGGAACCCUACCCGACGGGGCUUUCGCCCGACCCGAUCGCGACCCGAAUUUGCAACCCCAAAUUCCAGUGCUUCUUUGCGGCGCUAGAGAGGGGAUGGCGGGGACGCCGG